Molecule: ribosomal RNA, 253 nt
Filed under: uncultured bacterium
Lineage: Bacteria
Description: partial 16S ribosomal RNA
Rfam family: Bacterial small subunit ribosomal RNA
Source: RNAcentral
UACGAAGGGGGCAAGCGUUGUUCGGAAUUACUGGGCGUAAAGGGCGCGUAGGCGGCUUAUCAAGUCAGGCGUGAAAUUCCCGGGCUUAACUCGGAACGGUCAAGUGAUACUGUCGGACUAGAGUACAGAAGGGGCAACUGGAAUUCUCGGUGUAGCGGUGAAAUGCGUAGAGAUCAGGAAGAACACCGGUGGCGAAAGCGCUCUGCUGGACCUUAACUGACACUGAGGGACGAAAGCUAGGGGAGCGAAUGGG